ACGAACGCUGGCGGCGUGCUUAACACAUGCAAGUCGAACGGAAAGGCCCUGCUUUUGUGGGGUGCUCGAGUGGCGAACGGGUGAGUAACACGUGAGUAACCUGCCCUUGACUUUGGGAUAACUUCAGGAAACUGGGGCUAAUACCGGAUAGGAGCUCCUGCUGCAUGGUGGGGGUUGGAAAGUUUCGGCGGUUGGGGAUGGACUCGCGGCUUAUCAGCUUGUUGGUGGGGUAGUGGCUUACCAAGGCUUUGACGGGUAGCCGGCCUGAGAGGGUGACCGGCCACAUUGGGACUGAGAUACGGCCCAGACUCCUACGGGAGGCAACAGUGGGGAAUAUUGCACAGUGGGCGGAAGCCUGAUGCAGCAACGCCGCGUGCGGGAUGACGGCCUUCGGGUUGUAAACCGCUUUCGCCUGUGACGAAGCGUGAGUGACGGUAAUGGGUAAAGAAGCACCGGCUAACUACGUG
RNAcentral lists this ribosomal RNA (467 nucleotides) under uncultured bacterium. Its description in RNAcentral is "partial 16S ribosomal RNA". It matches the Rfam family "Bacterial small subunit ribosomal RNA", at positions 29 to 507 of the family's 1533-position model. The record is from RNAcentral.